GGCGGCGAUGAGCGGCGGCGGUGGAGGAUGAUCCCUUUCUCUUCUUCGAUGGUUCUGCCAUUUGAUGAAG
This 70-nucleotide microRNA precursor is filed under the name Glycine max (soybean). Its description in RNAcentral is "miR4993 stem-loop (gma-MIR4993)". Lineage: Eukaryota; Viridiplantae; Streptophyta; Magnoliopsida; Fabales; Fabaceae. The record is from miRBase by way of RNAcentral.